Molecule: ribosomal RNA, 683 nt
Filed under: Bacillus sp. (in: firmicutes)
Lineage: Bacteria; Bacillati; Bacillota; Bacilli; Caryophanales; Bacillaceae
Description: bacterial SSU rRNA
Rfam family: Bacterial small subunit ribosomal RNA
Source: RNAcentral
ACGGGUGAGUAACACGUGGGCAACCUGCCUGUAAGACUGGGAUAACUUCGGGAAACCGAAGCUAAUACCGGAUAGGAUCUUCUCCUUCAUGGGAGAUGAUUGAAAGAUGGUUUCGGCUAUCACUUACAGAUGGGCCCGCGGUGCAUUAGCUAGUUGGUGAGGUAACGGCUCACCAAGGCAACGAUGCAUAGCCGACCUGAGAGGGUGAUCGGCCACACUGGGACUGAGACACGGCCCAGACUCCUACGGGAGGCAGCAGUAGGGAAUCUUCCGCAAUGGACGAAAGUCUGACGGAGCAACGCCGCGUGAGUGAUGAAGGCUUUCGGGUCGUAAAACUCUGUUGUUAGGGAAGAACAAGUACGAGAGUAACUGCUCGUACCUUGACGGUACCUAACCAGAAAGCCACGGCUAACUACGUGCCAGCAGCCGCGGUAAUACGUAGGUGGCAAGCGUUAUCCGGAAUUAUUGGGCGUAAAGCGCGCGCAGGCGGUUUCUUAAGUCUGAUGUGAAAGCCCACGGCUCAACCGUGGAGGGUCAUUGGAAACUGGGGAACUUGAGUGCAGAAGAGAAAAGCGGAAUUCCACGUGUAGCGGUGAAAUGCGUAGAGAUGUGGAGGAACACCAGUGGCGAAGGCGGCUUUUUGGUCUGUAACUGACGCUGAGGCGCGAAAGCGUGGGGAGCAA